UGUAAAAAAAAAAAAAAAAACCAUCUUUUUACCUCUCUAAUUAUGCUGAAAAACUUUAAAGUGAUAUUAUUAUCCCGUAAUCAAUUGAUAUUCUUAAUUGAGUAUUAUGCUCUUGGCCUUUCUCCCACCUUUUCCUCUUCAGUAACAUAUGUAUUUAACAGCCCUUAAGGCCUUAACUACUACUAAUUAUUUCUCUCCUCAUUAAUGUAAUUAACAUCCCUCAACCUAUUACUAAUUAUUUCUCUCCUAAUUACUACUAAUUAUUUCUUCUCCUAAAGUCCCUCUUUCUUCCUCAGUUUCAGACCUAUUUCUACUUCAAAAUCCCAGCCUUCAACCACUUCACUGCUGGUCCAGGUUGAUUAAUGUGUAUAUUUGGAUUAUUUUGCUCACGAGGAUAUUGUUAAGUCGUUUUUAAUUAGUAUUUUCUGAAGCAAUUACGAUUAAGAGACGUUUAAAGUCUAUCAUAAGGAGUGGUAAUUGAUAUAUCAAUUACCUUUUUAGAUGAAGAUGUUUGAUAAAAAUAGAAAAUUAAAAAAAAAGAGACUUUGCCUACAUAAUUAAUUUCACGUGAAAAGGAAUAAAGGUCAAAUUAUAUUUUUAUCAUUUAUGUUAUUAAUUUUCUUUUGUGCAUAAACCAUGUAUAAGGGAAAA
Molecule: long non-coding RNA, 651 nt
Organism: Lycium ferocissimum
Lineage: Eukaryota; Viridiplantae; Streptophyta; Magnoliopsida; Solanales; Solanaceae
Exons: 2
Source: RefSeq, a predicted model, not a curated record